RNAcentral lists this ribosomal RNA (253 nucleotides) under uncultured bacterium. RNAcentral describes it as "partial 16S ribosomal RNA". It matches the Rfam family "Bacterial small subunit ribosomal RNA", at positions 524 to 776 of the family's 1533-position model. The record is from RNAcentral.
UACGUAGGGACCAAGCGUUGUUCGGAUUUACUGGGCGUAAAGGGUGCGUAGGCGGCGUGGUAAGUCACUUGUGAAAUCUCUGAGCUUAACUCAGAACUGCUAAGUGAUACUGCUGUGCUCGAGUGUGGAAGGGGCAAUCGGAAUUCUUGGUGUAGCGGUGAAAUGCGUAGAUAUCAAGAGGAACACCUGAGGUGAAGACGGGUUGCUGGGCCAACACUGACGCUGAGGCGCGAAAGCCAGGGGAGCAAACGGG